UCCGUAGGUGAACCUGCGGAAGGAUCAUUACCAAUGUCUUCGGGGGGACUCCGGUCCCUGUCUGAACCCUUGUCUUUUGCGUACUAUUUGUUUCCUUGGUGGGCUUUUGCCUGCCAAAAGGACACUAUAUAACCCUUUGUAAUUGCAAUCAGCGUCAGAAAAACAUAAUAGUUACAACUUUCAACAACGGAUCUCUUGGUUCUGGCAUCGAUGAAGAACGCAGCGAAAUGCGAAAAGUAGUGUGAAUUGCAGAAUUCAGUGAAUCAUCGAAUCUUUGAACGCACAUUGCGCCCCUUGGUAUUCCAUGGGGCAUGCCUGUUCGAGCGUCAUUUGUACCUUCAAGCAUUGCUUGGUGUUGGGUGUUUGUCCGCGUUUCUACACGCGGACUCGCCUUAAAGUGAUUGGCAGCCGGCGUACUCGCCUCGGAGCGCAGCACAUUUUGCGCCCCUUGACCUGAACGAUGGCGUCCACUAAGCCUAUACUUUGCUCCUUGACCUCGGAUCAGGUAGGGAUACCCGCUGAACUUAAGCAUAUCAAUAAGCGGAGGA
Molecule: ribosomal RNA, 548 nt
Filed under: Leptosphaerulina australis
Lineage: Eukaryota; Fungi; Ascomycota; Dothideomycetes; Pleosporales; Didymellaceae
Description: eukaryotic LSU rRNA
Rfam family: 5.8S ribosomal RNA (bases 176-329)
Source: RNAcentral